ACUCCUACGGGAGGCAGCAGUAGGGAAUCUUCCACAAUGGGCGAAAGCCUGAUGGAGCAACGCCGCGUGGGUGAAGAAGGUCUUCGGAUCGUAAAACCCUGUUGUUAGAGAAGAAAGUGCGUGAGAGUAACUGUUCACGUUUCGACGGUAUCUAACCAGAAAGCCACGGCUAACUACGUGCCAGCAGCCGCGGUAACACGUAGGUGGCAAGCGUUAUCCGGAUUUAUUGGGCGUAAAGGGAACGCAGGCGGUCUUUUAAGUCUGAUGUGAAAGCCUUCGGCUUAACCGGAGUAGUGCAUUGGAAACUGGGAGACUUGAGUGCAGAAGAGGAGAGUGGAACUCCAUGUGUAGCGGUGAAAUGCGUAGAUAUAUGGAAGAACACCAGUGGCGAAAGCGGCUCUCUGGUCUGUAACUGACGCUGAGGUUCGAAAGCGUGGGUAGCAAACAGGAUUAGAUACCCUGGUAGGAUAGCG
RNAcentral lists this ribosomal RNA (473 nucleotides) under uncultured bacterium. Its description in RNAcentral is "bacterial SSU rRNA". It matches the Rfam family "Bacterial small subunit ribosomal RNA", at positions 335 to 799 of the family's 1533-position model. The record is from RNAcentral.